RNAcentral lists this ribosomal RNA (467 nucleotides) under uncultured bacterium. RNAcentral describes it as "partial 16S ribosomal RNA". It matches the Rfam family "Bacterial small subunit ribosomal RNA", at positions 29 to 507 of the family's 1533-position model. The record is from RNAcentral.
ACGCACGCUGGCGGCGUGCUUAACACAUGCAAGUCGCACGGAAAGGCCCUGCUUUUGUGGGGUGCUCGAGUGGCGAACGGGUGAGUAACACGUGAGUAACCUGCCCUUGACUUUGGGAUAACUUCAGGAAACUGGGGCUAAUACCGGAUAGGAGCUCCUGCUGCAUGGUGGGGGUUGGAAAGUUUCGGCGGUUGGGGAUGGACUCGCGGCUUAUCAGCUUGUUGGUGGGGUAGUGGCUUACCAAGGCUUUGACGGGUAGCCGGCCUGAGAGGGUGACCGGCCACAUUGGGACUGAGAUACGGCCCAGACUCCUACGGGAGGAAGCAGUGGGGAAUAUUGCACAAUGGGCGGAAGCCUGAUGCAGCAACGCCGCGUGCGGGAUGACGGCCUUCGGGUUGUAAACCGCUUUCGCCUGUGACGAAGCGUGAGUGACGGUAAUGGGUAAAGAAGCACCGGCUAACUACGUG